Molecule: unclassified non-coding RNA, 1363 nt
Filed under: Yarrowia lipolytica
Lineage: Eukaryota; Fungi; Ascomycota; Dipodascomycetes; Dipodascales
Source: RNAcentral
GCAACUGCAAAGGAUGCGGUACCUUCUGAUGGACGGUAGGUGCGGUAGAGCCCGCUGAAAUGCGGAGCUGAGAAGCAAACCUGUCCCACCCCACCAUGCAACGAUGGACUUGAUUGAUGACGUGCCAUACACAGCUUAGCCAGCCUACGCACGAGAUCGUCCGCUUGAGUUUGGGUAGCGCCCAAGGGUUGUGAUAUUUCCCCUGCAUGGAAAGAUACACAUCAUCACAUGGUCAAGAGCCAAUGCCUUGAGAGCAAUGACGCGUUGAGACACACGCAUGAGCCCAAGAGUGAAGCCGCCUGAGCCAAGAGUCAAUGAGUCCUACGGGUUGACCGCUUGUGACAGAGUCAAUAAAUCCUUCGGGUUGACCUCCUUGCAUGAGUCAAUAAAUCCUACCACGGCUGACCGCCAUACGCUGAAACAUGCUAUGAGCCAAGAGCGAGGUGUCUAGAGCCGGCUGAAAUGCCAGAGCCCGCCUCCGUGCCUUGUGUAACACACAUGAGCAAGCCGCCAGAGCCAAGCGCCAGAUGCCAUCGAGCCAGAGCCACCAAUUCGACCGUUGAGAAACUCACAGGGUGGAAUUCCUUUUUGAGACACUCACGAGAGCCGCCUAGUUAACCUACCUGAGCAAAGCGUCAGAGCCACGAUGCCAGAGCCGCCCCAAAGAGCCAACUGUCGAGAGACGGCCAGGUAAAAGCCGAGAAGCUGCUGAGACGCUACCAUGCCGAGAAGCGGGCUGAGACGCGCUAGAGCAAAGAUCUGCUUAUGACAGACGCCAUUCCAAUGGUCAAAAGAGCUAUGCAACAGUUAACGAGCCCGCGCCACACGCCGACUAUCAAGUCUGAGCGAACGCCAGAGCCGCCAACGAGCCACACCAUGAUGCCUGAGUCAGAGCCAGUAAGCCCCACUGAGGCAAUAAGUGCCAAAUCCAGAGCCACAGACGAGAGCAAAGAGCCGGUAAGUCCAAAGAUGCAAUAAGAGCCAAACGCCAGUCACCAGCCAGAGCAAGAGCCAGUGAGUCCACAGAUGCAAUAAGAGCCAAACGCCUGAGCGAUACACGUACCAGAGCCAAAGGAGCCAGGGCCAUCGAGCCGAGGCCAGCCAGAUGCCACUAAGAGCCAGAGCCACAACGAGCCAGUUGCCAAUAAGAGCCAGAGCACGAGCCAGAGUCACACAAGAUGUUGCAGUCGAGAUGUGUAUAGGACGUAGGCAGUUGAACCUCUUAGCAAGAGGAUGUAAACUGACCGAACCUAUUAUUUAGUUGAGAGGAGUAGGUGAAAAUCCGAACCUCUGGGUUAAUAUAUCAUGGACCAAAGAGUCCCCACCCAAUUUUUCAAUUGUAGUGUUAUUGUAGCAUUUUUGU